This 416-nucleotide ribosomal RNA is filed under the name Blastocystis sp. RNAcentral describes it as "SSU rRNA". It matches the Rfam family "Eukaryotic small subunit ribosomal RNA", at positions 532 to 954 of the family's 1831-position model. Lineage: Eukaryota; Bigyra; Opalinata; Blastocystidae. The record is from RNAcentral.
CCUUAUCGAUAAACAAUUGGAGGGCAAGUCUGGUGCCAGCAGCCGCGGUAAUUCCAGCUCCAAUAGCGUAUAUUAACGUUGUUGCAGUUAAAAAGCUCGUAGUUGAAAUGAAGGGUAGUUGUGUAAUGAAUACAUUCGUGUAUUUUGUUAUUCAAGUACCCUCCUUCUAAAUUCGAUAUAUGAGUAUUAAUUUACUUGUAUAUGGUUUUAGACGUUUACUGUGAGAAAAUUAGAGUGUUCAAAGCAGGCAUUUGCUUGAAUAUAUUAGCAUGGAAUAAUCAUGUAUGAUUUUCAUGAUGUAUUUGAUUGGUUUGGUUCAUGAGAAUAAGAUUAAAAGGGACAGUUGGGGGUAUUCAUAUUCAAUAGUCAGAGGUGAAAUUCUCGGAUUUAUGGAAGAUGAACAAGUGCGAAAGCAA